Molecule: non-coding RNA, 75 nt
Organism: Xenopus laevis (African clawed frog)
Lineage: Eukaryota; Metazoa; Chordata; Amphibia; Anura; Pipidae
Source: Rfam
CUGUAUGUACCCUGUAGAUCCGAAUUUGUGUAAGCACAAUCAUAUCACAAAUUCGUGUCUGGGGGGAUAUGCAGU